This is a long non-coding RNA of Manihot esculenta (cassava), 6591 nucleotides long. RefSeq lists it as uncharacterized. Lineage: Eukaryota; Viridiplantae; Streptophyta; Magnoliopsida; Malpighiales; Euphorbiaceae. The transcript has 2 exons. The record is from RefSeq and is a predicted model, not a curated record.
CGUUGCCCAAACAGAAACAAGCAGAGAAAACAAUCAUUCUUUCGAGGCUUACUCUGAUAGCUACAGUUUCUCAUCGAUCCCUCACUUUGAUCCUUCACCGCCUCGCGCUCUCCCACAGAGCACCUGCACCAAUCGAAACAGACGUCCUAUCAGACUUCCCUUCACGCAAAACCCACAAUUAUAUGCUUUCACACUUGGUUUAAGCCCUCAAAUCAUCUGUUGAUACUCGUACACAAAUCCCGCGGACAACUCACCCUCAACCGUCAACCCGCUCUCCAGCUUCUUUUGACGGUCUAGAUCCUCGUCGUCGCUGACCAUGGAGACUAAUCCUUGGACCUCAAGAUUGGCAUUUUAAUUGCUAAUUAUGCUUUUUUAUUAUUUAAUUAGUUCUAUGCUAUUAUUUUCCCGUUGUAUUCUCUUCCCUAGAAUGCUUUAUUUUACUUGAUUGUUUGGUGUGUCUAUUAUUUAAGUUUAGAUUACGUCUUGGUUUUGAAUUAUGUAGUGAUAAUUUUGAAGUAAAUGAAGAGUGGAUAAUUUAGGGAAAAACUUAGCUGUGAUUUAAUGUUUGGGAUGAUCACUGAUGAUUUGAAGAAAAUAUUUCAGUGAUCUAAGCUUGGCAGCGGAGCUCAUUCUUUCAUGGUUUUGUUUGAUUGCAAGUCAAAAUUUUUUUGAAACAUGUAACAUGAUCUGGGGAGAAGAAUAAACUGAAAAUUUGGGUCUUGAACGUUAGAGAGAUUUAUCCCUUGAUUGGUAAAAUAUUUUUGGAAUUCAAGUUUCUCUUCCCAUUGGCCUGCUUUGAAUAAUUGACUUAACAGUGUGAAAGGACCUUUUGUUUGAUGGAAUAAAAAAUAGGGAUGAAACUUUUAAACUGGGAGAUAGAUUUCUUAAAUUUGAUUUAGCUUAAUGGCUAAAAUCUAAUCCACCUUAUUAUUCUUUUUCUUGAUAUAAUUGACAGUUAUGAAAUAUUAAGAACAGAUAUGAAAUGUUAGAAGUUGAUGGUUACUGCAUUAUAGGUUUGGUGAUAGUGGACUGAAGAUUUUGUCCUUGUCUGGCAUUUAGCAGGAUUCUUCAUCGUAGGAAAGAGUAGAAAUUAGAGAAAGAAAGGGAAGCAAGUAAAGUAUAGAAGUAUAAGAGCAAAACAAAUAUUUUGUAUUGGUAUUAAUUUUGAAUAGCCUUCACAAAGCAUCUUGCCCUUUAGAGAGCAGUUACCAGCUGAUGAUAACUGCCUACAACAGGUAUAGCUACGGUUAAGUAGCUGUUCCAAAUAGCAAAUCACUAACACAAUGAACCUGCUUUUGAGACAUCUAUUUCCUGGUUAUACUUAAUUCAUUCUUAGUCCUUAUACAACUUAGUAAGCUAUCACUUACUAAUGUUUACUACUAAACUAUCUUAUAUCUGAUGUACCAUUGAUUAAGUAUACAGUUGGUUGUUGCAUUUUAUUUUUGUGAAUAUCUUUCUUUUUUGUUUAAUAUUUAAUUUGUUUACUUUACUCAACUACUCAUUUUGUUUAAUAUUUAAUUUGCUUACUUUACUCAACUACUCAUUUUGUUUUUCCAAGUAGCAUCCUUGGAGUUUGACAAUGUUUCUAUGUUGCAAUUUGUUGAUGCUACUUCAUCCACAAAUUCCUUGCUUGAAAGAUAUAUAUUUAUGUCUUCUAUUAUAAUUAUGCGAUUAAUUUUUUGUUAUGACUAUGCCUUUGAAAACAAAAAAGACAUGGACAUAAUACAUGCAAAGGUUAGGAGGCUUUCAUUCUUUUUUUUUUUUUUCUUUUAAAAAAAUAAAAGUUGCUAUUCUUUUUCCCAUUGAUUAUCUCUAACAAGAUAACUCCGUAAUUGAAAACAUCAAAUAUUGUGGAAAAUGAUUAUUCCAUUGCAUACUUCAGUGGCAUGUAUUUGCUAUUUGAAUUUAUAAGAAAAGAACAACAAUUUCACCAUACUACUAGAUUGAUCUAACAAAAUAAAUUUUAGAAAGAUUUUACUAGUUGUUAAUGUGUAGAGAAAAAUAACAUCUAAAGUUGGUGUAGAUAUAUUUAGAAUGUGGUUUACAGUUGCAGCAGUAAGCUAGGUAAUCACAUUUAUAUAAUCAAGCAACUCUAUUUAUAUUUGCUUCCCUUUUAUGUUUACAAAAAAUCAUAUUUUCAAAGUUUGAUAUCUUUGGAUUUAUGUCAUAGUUGAUAAAAAAUAUUUCUGGUAUGUCAUAGUUGAUAAAAAAUAUUUCUGUUUUUUAGGUCCUUGUGAAUAAUAUAGAGACAAAAAUCUUCAUAUAUCAGAGGCUUCUGACAAAUCCUUUAACAAUGCUAAUAUGUCUUUGCCAAUUAAGUUGAACAUCCUCGCAAGGAUCUGCAGAUUAAUAAGAAAAAUUCAAACUACUUGAGAUUUCUGAAUUCUUAUUUUAGUAUUAAAUAGUAGGUAGUUUGAAUCUAAGCUUGCAACUAUUAACAUCAAGGCUUUUGUUGAGCAUGUAUUCGUAAAUGAGUAAUUUCUCAUUGUUUUUUGCAAGUUGGUUUCCAGGAGUAUGACGAGAUUUAUACAUUGCAAUUUGGCAGUUAAAGUGGACUUUUCAUUUAUGAAUUUCUUUAACAUUUAAGCAAAAGUUCUUGGAAAGCUUUUUUCUUUCCCAUCUUCUGAUGUACCCUAAUAGUAUUUUGAAUAUUAUGCAAAUGCAAUUGUAGAAAUCAAAACAUGUAUUGGAGGGUUCUUUAUAAUUUAAAAAGUGGUUUUUCCCCCUUUCUAAAAGUACUACGUACCAAUCACAUGAGAUCUUAGACAUCUUGCAUAAAGCUACAUAACAUUUAUAUGAAGAAAAUAAACUUGGACAACAUGGGUUGGCCUAGUCUAUAAGGUAAUUCAUAGUCUUGGGCUUAAUAUCUCCAAAACCCAUAUGGAAAUGAUUUUCUCGAUUUUCCUCUUGGUCAUUAUCUCUAAUAGUUGCUUGUCCUUCCUCUUGGUCAUUAUCUCUAAUAGUUGCUUGUCCUAAGUCAAUUAAUUGAAAAUUGAGUUAGAGUGAAAGGAAAUAGCCAAGAGAUUCAUGAUAAGAGGGAAAAGUGAGUAAUGAUUUUUAUUUGAUUCUCUUAGACAUCCUGCAUGAAGCUACAUAACAUUUUUCUGAAGAAAAUAAACUUGGACAGGUUAGGUUGGCCUACUCUAUAACCUAAUCAUAUUCUUGAGCUUAAUAACUCUAAUGAUAUAGAGCUCAUAUGAUCGAUACCAAUAAUUUCUGGAAAGAAAUUAUUUUUGAAGGAUAAAGAAUCUUCAAUGUGCAUAUUGUGUUUUCUUUAGUUGUAUAUUGCAUACUUUUAAAUAUGCUAUUAAGCUGCAUUAGAAGAUGGCCAAGAAAUUGCAGUCAAAAGGCUUUUAAGAAUUUCUGUUCAAGAACCAAAAGGAUUCAUGAAUGAAGUCUCUUUAGUUGCAAAUAAAAAUCUUGUUGGAUUUUUGGGAUGUUGCUUGCAAAAAAAUGAAAAGUUGGUCUUCUAUGGGUACAUGCCCAACAAAAGUCUUGAUGUCUUUCUUUCUGGUUGUACACUGAGACUCAAACUACCUAAUAAUUAAUGUUGAGGUAGAAAUUAUAACUAGUUUGAACAAUUUUUAUUGAUAUUUUGCAAAUUUUAAUACAGGAUGUUCAAUUUUACUAUCAAAAACCUUUUAGCAUUAUUAUGAAGUUGCUAAUGGCCUCCUAUAUUGUAUGAAGGUUUUUUGUCAUGAUUAUCUAAGGUCUAAAGUACUUGAAAACCUACAAUAUUUUGUUUGACUCUAACAUGAAUUCGUAGAUAUCAAACUUCAGAACAAUAAGGAAUUUUGGUGAAAACAAAGUGAGGCUAAUACAAGUAGAGUUUUUGGAGCUAAAGUGUUAUUACGUUGCUUACUAUCCUUUAAAUAUAUUCUACACUCACAUUAGAUGUUAUCAUUCUCUCCAAAGUAAUGACGGCUAAAACCUUUUCUAUUGCUUAUUUUUGAGAUUAGAUCCAUCUAAUAUUGUUAUGAAAUCUGUUCUUUUAUGGAUUCAAAUAGCAUAAACAUAGCCUUUGAGUAUGCAAGUGGAGCAUUAAUUUCCAUAAAAUUAUUAGUUUUGAAGUCAUUUUAUUGGAGAUAUUAAUGGGAAGAAGAACAGUGGCUUUUCUUAGAAGAGGGUAAACCUCCUUAAUUUUGUUAGUAAUUUGCCGCUUUUUUUCAAGGCAACGAUUGUAGCAUUAAUAGUCUAAUUCUAUUGGAGUUGCCAUGGAUACUGUGGUCUAAUAACCUAGUAUAGGAGCUAAUAGGUCCAUUGACUGGAGUUGAGUGUGGUCUCCAAGGUGCUGAAAUAUUUUCACAUUGGAUUAUUGUGUGUUCUUGAAGAUCCAGCAGACAGACCCACAUCUCUUGUUGUUACAUUGGCAAGUGAAUAUUAACCUUCCUCAAUCCUCAGGCCAGCUCAUAGCAAGAUUAUCUAUCUCCCUCAAAUCAGAAAUUUUGUUUCUGUUAGUCAGGAAUUUUUUUCAAUAUAUGCCCAUGACGGUGUGCCUGUGUAAUUCUACAAAUGCGAUUAAGUUUUUUAUUUGGCAUCUGGUUCUCAUCUCUUAGUAAUAAUGUUUGCAGAUAUCCUUUGGUUAUUGAAAUAACAUGCAGUGAAGCGCAAGUGCAGCCUUCAAACUAAGAUUUAUAUUUAAAACGAGUUUUCUAAUUAAUGCCCUUAAAAUACUGAUUAAUGGGUGAUUAUCCUAGUUUUAAGAUCUUCCUAGUAUAUGUUAUGGAGAUAUGCAUAGCUUAUUUAUUCUGUCAUUGUUAGAUAGCUUUCUGUUAGUUUGUUAGGUAGUUAAGUCCAUGUGAGCAAACCUUUAGUAGAUUACUUUUACAUGUAAUAUAAAUCUACUUUUAUGCUCUGUAGUACUGGUAAUUUCUUUUUUCAGUACAUUCAUAUUUUCAUAUGGUAUCAGAACACAUCUUUUUUCUCUUUCUUUUUCCCCAAAAAUUGUAUCAGUUUAUUUUUCUCUUGAAGUUUUUCUUCUUCUGCUAGAUUUGUAUCUGUCAUCUUUUUCCCUUGAAGCUUUACUUCCUCUGUAUUAAGUGGUGGAAAUUUCAGGUGGAGUAGAUGCCGGUGGCAAUAGUGGAAUCAAAAGUCAUAAUAUCACAGUGGAGAUUUGUCAUCCUCUCCAUCUGUUGCCUUCUGAUAAACCAGGAGUAAUGAUUCUCUUGAUCAUGGAAGCAAUCAAUGAUUGUAGCCCUUGAAAUAAGAUCACACUAGUAGAGCAGUGUGAUUAAAGAAAUAUCAGGGCAGCUUCUGUUUUAUAUUGUGCCACAGCAGCUGAAUUUGGAUUGCAUCGGGAGCUCCUUUUGAGGUAAAAAUGCAACAUGAAUGACGAAUCUUUCAAUUAGAAAUUUAUGGUAGACAACAGGGAGAUGAUUCAAUAUCUGUAUAUUUUUUCAAGAUUAUUGAAAAAGAUAUGGGAUGAGUUGACAGAAUUGACUCUGGAAAUUAUUUGCCUUCACCUGGUUCUUUUGUUCAUUGUCUCGAGUUUUUGAUGGGAUUAAAUGAAAGUUAUGGAGUUGCAAGGAACCAGAUCUUGUUAAUGGAUCCAUUGCCCUAAGUGGAUUUAUACAAAGCUAAUUCAAGAAAAAUCUCAACGUAGCAUUUGUGCUUCUCCACCUUCUCAGUCUACUGCUGCUUUGAUAUCACAAAGGUCUCAGUUUUCUGGAACUUGUGAUAAAACUCGGAAUUUUCAGAGAAAUCAAUACAAUAAAACAGGCCAUUUGUGAACAUUGCGAUACAAAGGGCAUCAGAAUGAUAAAUCCACAAUCAAUACGACAAGCUGCAGAAGUGGUUCAAGGGCUAGUGGACUCUGGUCUUUCUGCUGUAUUACCUCCAGGUGAUCCCUUAACGCCAGCUCAGAUUCAACACUUGGUCACAUGCUUGCGGAAGAUGAAUGUUUCUCCAGUUACACAUACUUCAGCAGCAAACAUUGGUGUAAGCAGGCUCAUCUUCCUCAUCUUCAGGUUCUAUCGCCAACAUUGCAAGUAAUAUUAUUCAUUCAUUGUCUUGUAUUCAUGUCAAACUCUUCUUGAUAGUGGGUGCAUCCGAUCACAUAACCAACCUAUCCUCCCUCCUACAUAACAAGAAACCUUCUCAUACAAAUUCCCAAAUAUUACCAAACGGUUCCUUGGCCCCUAUCAUGUAUAGUGAUGUAUACCUCAGACCAACCUGAUCUUAAAAAAAUGUUUUCCGUUGCCCUCUUAGCAAAAUAACCUAAGACCUACCAUGUCAUCUAUUUUUCAUCUGAUUCAUGUAAAGUGCAGGACCAUAUAAAGGAGAUAUUGGGGAUUGUUGAGCAAUAGCAAGGGUUUAUCUUUUCAAAGACCUUAGACUGAUAAACCAAUUUCCAACUCUGCUUGUAGACCAGAUUCAGUUUGUAAAACCGUUUCUGCUAGUGUUGAUGAUCUUACUUGGUGGCAUGUAUGCGUAGGCGAUGCUUCUUUUUCCAAAUUGAAGAAUUUGUUUCCAGAUUCUCAGAUUUCAAAUUAAACUGAAAUUUGUCCAGUUCGUUUCUUAGCAAAACAACAUGCAUUACCAUUUCCCAGAAGUGUUACUAUUUCAAGUAUUCCAUUUAACAAGCUUGCUUCA